UGGCUGCUGAAGCCUGCCCUCUGGGCGUCCAAGGCAGUCACUAGUUGACUUUAAAGGGCUUGAAAAAUGUCAGAAGAAAAUUGUGACACAGAAAAAUGUCUGCUUUGGAAGAUGGAAUGGGGUUUGUUGGGAGAGAUAUGGUUGUGCAGCAGUGGUUGUACAUGGUCUCUGAGAGUGAGGACUGGCACAAGUAGGAGAUAUGUGUGCCUGGGAGAGGGGAGAACCCAGGAGCCCUGAUCCUAGAUCCCAUUAGUCACUGGUUCUGCCCUUUAGCUGAAGGCAGUGUGAUGGAGUUGAGUUUGUAUUUGCUUAGUAGUUUGGCCUGCGAUGCCCUCUGCUUCGGGGGAAGGGAGAGGGGAGGAAUUGGUUUUGGCUGCUCCGUGAAAUGGUUGUUAUUCAUGGUGGGUGCAGGCAACCUGUACUUCCAGGUGCCUGUGACUCCUGAAGACACAGUCGGGUAUUUCUCAGAGCAGCAGGGUGGCGGCCUGGAGGACUCAUAGAAGGAGCUCUGCAAAUGUGUUGUGAAGGGGAGCUGUGACACCCUGAGCUUCCUGGGUGAGAGGCUGGCCUCUGGGGGCCUCCACACCUUGGUUUUACUCCUUUAUUCAAUCGCAUGAGACUCCUGAAUCUCAGAGCAGGAAGCAUGUGGAGAUCAUUUCUUCAGCCCUCUGUCUUCAGGCAGGUAGAAGGUAUCUGUCAUUAUCAUUUUGAGGUUUUAUGUAAUGAAAUGCAGAGGUUAUGUGACUUGUUCCAGGUCUCGUGGAGUAAAUAAACUGGAAUCUGCUCCUCGCUGUCCUGCCCUUCACAUGGUGCCAGAGGCAGCUCCUGCGUGCACACCUGUGGCUCACCAGCCUGUCUGCUCCUGGGGAGCUGGGGCCUCCCCUGGUUUACAUCUGCAUCUCUAGGACACCCACGCUGCACUCUGCACACUGAGUUCUCAGGAGAUUCCUGCUGAGCAAAGAAGGAUGAAUUGUAGGCCUGCUUCUUUUUUUUUUUUGAGACGGAGUUUUGCUCUUGUUUCCCAGGCUGGAGUGCAAUGGCGUGAUCUCAGCUCACCACACCCUCCGCCUCCCGGGUUCAAGUGAUUCUCCUGCCUCAGCUUCCUGAGUAGCUGGGACUACAGGCAUGGGCCACCACACCUGGCUCAUUUUAUAUUUUUAGUAGAGACGGGGUUUGUCUAUGUUGGUCAGGCUGGCUGCGAACUCCCAACCUCAGGCGAUCCACCCGUCUCGGUCUCCUAAAGUGCUGGGAUUACAGGAGUGAGCCACCGCGCUUGGCCAGGCCUGCUUUUAAGGAUGCCCCAGGUCCAGAAAAUCAGGGCCAGCCCUGGGAAGUUCGCUCCUUCAGGCAGGUGUGCAUCUUCAUGUGAGACUUGAUCAGACCUGGGUUUUUGUAUCUACCCCACUCCGAAGCUCUCCUGCGUGAACCUGGAAUUCUCACUGCUUUGGGCAGAGGUUCCUCCUUCAGAAAAGGGUCCCAGUGUGCUGUGGGAGGCAGGGUGAGGAGGCUGUCCGGCCUCAGGCGAGGAAGGAGAAGCACAUGGAAGGAAGGGCAGCAGGAAGCCUGAACCUGACUGCCAUGAAUGGCCAGCCCCAAUCUUGGGCCUCAGUUUCCUCAUCUGUCUGGACUAGGUGACUUGCCUGUGUGGGCAGUGGAUGGGAACCCUUCCUCUUGGCCUCAUGGCACUCACUUCUAGCCCACGAAAACUGAGAGGCCUUGCCCACCCUACUCUCCAUGCCCCUUCAACACACGUCUUGAAGAGGCUGCUCCAAGCCUGGCAGAACACCCUCCCUUUCCAGGCCUGCAGAGGACAGCCCUGCCACUGCCCUUUUCCUCCCCACAGGCCAGGCCACCACCAAGCCAGAUCUGGCGCCAGUGGAGAAAGGAGACAGGGAGGCAACUGCAGCCUGCCCAGUGUGGAGAGGGGCCAGAGCCCGGGCACUGGUGAGUCCCUCAGGGUGUGGGCCUGGGCCUCUCCACCUGCAUCUGGUAAGGGCAUCUGGUGUCAGAAGGCCCCCCUGGAGAAGGAGAGGCA
This 2035-nucleotide long non-coding RNA is filed under the name Pan troglodytes (chimpanzee). Its description in RNAcentral is "long non-coding RNA NONPTRT015920". Lineage: Eukaryota; Metazoa; Chordata; Mammalia; Primates; Hominidae. The record is from RNAcentral.